CCUGGCGCAUACACAAUCACAUUUCACCCAGCCUCGAGCCACCACGUGAAUGGGUGACCAGGAAGCAAUCUUCCCUUCAGAGGAUUUCCUCCAAUAUCUACGCUGCAUGCCAAGGAUCCGUAAUAACUUUUAACCUGGUGAACCAGAGAGGCUGCGUGUGGUUUAUGUAUCAUGUACUGGAACCUGGACAAUGGUAGCUAUUACCUUACUUCCUAUAUCCGUCAAGGACCAAUCCUGGAAAAUUUCCUAAAUGUUCCAAGCAAGUCCAAGAAGGACUACCCCAGUUUCCUGUAUCUUGAUCCAGGAGAUAAGCCAAUGAGUAUCAGACAAGUGUUGAAAACAGGAGAAAGUACCAAAAAUUUAAAGACAACAGUGACUAAGACUAACCUCUGAGAUAAUCCAGAUCACUUGGACUUGAAGUCUAAGAAAAGCUAUUGAUUUUUUCCGUGUGCCUGAGAGAUUUGUCAACUAAUCCUGAAUCUCUUACACCAUUGGAAUCAGAGCAUUAAGCAAUUCACUGGCAGCGUACCUAUCACGUGCUGGGGAAUCCGUCACCUGUGACUCGGCCCUCAGCACAGACGCAGGAGAGCGAGCCCAGGACUAUGAGAUGGAAGACAUACUUCAGAGUCCUGGCCCUGCCGCUCACCUGCCCUGGGGCUUUGGACAAGUCACUUUCCCAGGAGGGGCCUUUUUCCACCACAGGAAAUCACCCCAGUGAUCACAAAUGUCCUUACCAUUCCUACAACAUUUCUGCGCCUGCCUUCUAGGAUUCAUGUGAAGGAAAAAAUAAAAGUGCAGUUAAUAUUCAACAUAAAAGUCUGGUAAUAAAACACAUUCGAUUGCCACGACUGGUUUAGCAAUCGCUUGGCCUCUGAAACAACCUCCUAAAUAUGCGGGGAGAGUGUUUAUCAUUUCUGCUCCUGCAGGGCCUGACACUUCACUAAGGGAAUAGGCUGCACAAUUUCUUACUCUUUCAAAAACUGUUGCAUUUGAAUUCUUGCAAAAUAUUUAAAAUUUGUUUUAGAGGACCAGAGGUACUUCUAAGCUGAGUUACUGCUGUAUCCCUCCUUUCUUU
This is a long non-coding RNA of Mirounga angustirostris (Northern elephant seal), 1075 nucleotides long. RefSeq lists it as uncharacterized. Lineage: Eukaryota; Metazoa; Chordata; Mammalia; Carnivora; Phocidae. The record is from RefSeq and is a predicted model, not a curated record. The transcript is spliced from 3 exons.